GACGAACGCUGGCGGCGUGCUUAACACAUGCAAGUCGAACGCUGAAGCUCAGCUUUUGUUGGGUGGAUGAGUGGCGAACGGGUGAGUAACACGUGAGUAACCUGCCUCCUUCUUUGGGAUAACGCCCGGAAACGGGUGCUAAUACUGGAUAUUCACUGGUCUUCGCAUGGGGGUUGGUGGAAAGGGUUUUUCUGGUGGGGGAUGGGCUCGCGGCCUAUCAGCUUGUUGGUGGGGUGAUGGCCUACCAAGGCUUUGACGGGUAGCCGGCCUGAGAGGGUGACCGGGCACAUUGGGACUGAGAUACGGCCCAGACGCGUACGGGAGGCAGCAGUGGGGAAUAUUGCACAAUGGGCGCAAGCGUGAUGCAGCGACGCCGCGUGAGGGAUGGAGGCCGUCGGGUUGUGAACCUCUUUCGCUCAUGGUCAAGCCGCAACAAUGGUUGUGGUGAGGGUAGUGGGUAAAGAAGCGCCGGCUAACUACGUG
RNAcentral lists this ribosomal RNA (483 nucleotides) under uncultured bacterium. RNAcentral's name for it is "partial 16S ribosomal RNA". It matches the Rfam family "Bacterial small subunit ribosomal RNA", at positions 28 to 507 of the family's 1533-position model. The record is from RNAcentral.